AAACCAUGAUUUGAGGACUUCAGUAACUCAGCCAGAGGCAGGGUGGAUAAAAAUCAAUGUUUUUUUUUUUAAUCAAAACUUUUUUAAUUUGAUUUUUUUGGAUGAUAGAUUUUUUCCUCACAAAGCAUCUAAAAAUAGAUAUUAUAGCUCAAAGAUGUCUCAUCAUAGAGUAGGAACUAUAAAUUCUAAUUCUAUAUAGUAUGAGACAAUAUAUUCAUGUAAUGUUUAAGAAACAUUUUGUAAAUGAGUUUCAAUAGUUCAUGGGUUAGGGACCCUAUCUUAUGGGGUUUCAGGCACUUCUGUAUAGAUUAUUUAGGUUAAUCUUUCUAUCUACCCAAUGGGACUCGGUGCUCAGUCCAGAAGAUACCAUCAGAGAUGCUUAGUUUUGCAGUUCUCAAACUCUGGAUUUGUCUUUCCGGAGAUGACAAGCUUGUUAACGCAAAAAUAUUUUUAAAUUAAUAAAUUAUAUAGAGAGGUGAGAAAUAACAGACCUCAGCCCUAUUGUCCCUUUGCAAAUUUAUGUACACAGAGUCAAUCCCUUACCACUCUCUCUAAAAGUGAAGUUUCAAAAAGUUCAGUGAAUAGAAGACUGUUGGGGGCAGAAUAGAUCUGGACAAGGAGAAGAAAUCUGGAGAUAAAUGUGAGAAGGGAGGGACAUGCAGUAGAAACCAAAGUAUAUUCCAGAAGUCUUGAGGUCUUUCUGAGUAUAGCCUUCAUUGAUUUGAGAUCUACCACACCAUUCACUCACUAUACAGGAAAACCUAUAAUGGCAGCAGGCCAUAAAAGAGAUCCAGUUUGGGAAUAUUUUAAUGAAGUUCCUCUACCUGUGGGUAAGACAGGCAUGUGUGCAAAAUGGAAAGAGUGCAACAAAGAAAUGCAAGGCCUGGUUGCCUGAAUGAAACGACAUUAUGAGAAGUGUUCCUUCUCAGGAGGAAGCUGCAUUGAAGAUGAUGAAAGGAACAGUUCUGAACAUGCAGAAUCUUCAGGAGAAUCCAUCCUCAACAUACAGGAUUCUGAAGACUAUCCACCUUCAAGAUCACCAUCAUUUUCUAUAGUUUCAGAGUUAUCUGCCAAUGAUAACGUUUCAGUCACAUCAUGUUUGUCACGUAGCCACAGUAGAUCACCUAUAGCA
Long non-coding RNA from Dermochelys coriacea (leatherback sea turtle), 1132 nucleotides. RefSeq lists it as uncharacterized. The record is from RefSeq and is a predicted model, not a curated record. The transcript is spliced from 2 exons. Lineage: Eukaryota; Metazoa; Chordata; Testudines; Dermochelyidae.